This 390-nucleotide unclassified non-coding RNA is filed under the name soil metagenome. Its description in RNAcentral is "partial contains 5.8S ribosomal RNA, internal transcribed spacer 2, and large subunit ribosomal RNA". The stretch from base 1 to 122 matches the Rfam family "5.8S ribosomal RNA", at positions 35 to 154 of the family's 154-position model. The record is from RNAcentral.
GAUGAAGAACGCAGCGAAAUGCGAUACUUGGUGUGAAUUGCAGAAUCCCGUGAACCAUCGAGUCUUUGAACGCAAGUUGCGCCCGAAGCCAUUAGGCCGAGGGCACGCCUGCCUGGGCGUCACACGUCGUUGCCCCCCCAUCUACUCCUUCGGGAUUGCGGGGGCGGAUGAUGGCCUCCCGUGCGCCUCGUCGCGCGGUUGGCAUAAAUGCCAAGUCCUCGGCGACGCACGCCACGACAAUCGGUGGUUGCGAAACCUCGGUUGCCCGUCGUGUGCGGUCGUCGCGCAUCGAGGGCUCGAAAAAAUUGCCGGGCUCCGGCUCGACUUUCAACGCGACCCCAGGUCAGGCGGGGUUACCCGCUGAAUUUAAGCAUAUCAAUAAGCGGAGGA